RNAcentral lists this ribosomal RNA (253 nucleotides) under uncultured bacterium. RNAcentral's name for it is "partial 16S ribosomal RNA". It matches the Rfam family "Bacterial small subunit ribosomal RNA", at positions 524 to 776 of the family's 1533-position model. The record is from RNAcentral.
CACGUAGGGGGCGAGCGUUGUCCGGAAUCACUGGGCGUAAAGGGAGCGUAGGCGGCCUGUCGUGUCCUGCGUGAAAGUCGUCGGCUUAACCGGCGACAGUCGUGGGAAACUGCGGGGCUUGAGUGCCGGAGAGGGUGGCGGAAUUCCCGGUGUAGCGGUGAAGUGCGUAGAUAUCGGGAGGAACACCAGUGGCGAAGGCGGCCACCUGGACGGUGACUGACGCUGAGGCUCGAAAGCUGGGGGAGCAAACAGG